Molecule: transfer RNA, 71 nt
Filed under: Marmota monax (woodchuck)
Lineage: Eukaryota; Metazoa; Chordata; Mammalia; Rodentia; Sciuridae
Description: tRNA.Val
Rfam family: tRNA
About the family: Transfer RNA (tRNA) molecules are approximately 80 nucleotides in length. Their secondary structure includes four short double-helical elements and three loops (D, anti-codon, and T loops). Further hydrogen bonds mediate the characteristic L-shaped molecular structure. tRNAs have two regions of fundamental functional importance: the anti-codon, which is responsible for specific mRNA codon recognition, and the 3' end, to which the tRNAs corresponding amino acid is attached (by aminoacyl-tRNA synthetases). tRNAs cope with the degeneracy of the genetic code in two manners: having more than one tRNA (with a specific anti-codon) for a particular amino acid; and 'wobble' base-pairing, i.e. permitting non-standard base-pairing at the 3rd anti-codon position.
Source: RNAcentral
GGGGCUGUAGCUCAGUGGUACAGUGCCUGCCUUACACGUAUGAGGCACUGGGUUCAAUCCUCAGCACCACA